Molecule: long non-coding RNA, 566 nt
Organism: Pseudomyrmex gracilis
Lineage: Eukaryota; Metazoa; Arthropoda; Insecta; Hymenoptera; Formicidae
Exons: 3
Source: RefSeq, a predicted model, not a curated record
AAACUUCGCAAAAACUCUUAUAGAAAAAAAAAAAAAAAAAAAUCUGUUCAACCUUCGGGAAGCGAUGAUGAAUUUGUGAAUAAAUUAGGUUCGAGGGCGUUUGGUGUAACCGGAUAUUUCUGAGUGCAAUUCAUGCGCGCGGUGAAAGCCGUGUACGCUACGACGAUGUCCUGCUGUUUUCAAGGCCGAGUCGCGCCCGGCAUAAACAUGUUUCACAAAGCUCAUUACUGAAUGGUGUGCUUAAUUUGGAUAUUUUCUUAAGGCUACUGAGCUGUAAUCGUUGCGGCUUUAUUAUUAGUUCAAUAUGGUUAUCUGUACGCGGGAUUCUUAACGAGAACGCGUCUCCGAAUAAUAGUUCUCAAGUAAAAUUUACCGGUGGCAUCGCGACACGCCAUCGUUGGCAAACACGAUGCUAUUACCUCGUUGCGUCGCACCGCACUCUACGUCGAGGCUAAAGACCCCGACACACCUGUACGCGAGAGAGCUUAGACGACAAAUGCGAAUGCCAGACACGAGGACACAGAUAGCCGGGGCGAACGUAUCGAAAGUUCAAGGCAGCGUGAGCG